UCCGUCAAACAAGCUAAUGGUUUUCCUGAGAGGUUCAGGAAAUGAAAAAGGAAUCGUGUGAGAAUCACGAGCAGACGUUGCUACUGUCAGUGACUAUUAAAAAGGGUUUGCCCUCGAUGUCCAUUGUCCUUCAGCGGUUCGCCCACUCCGGCGAACCGGUUGCGAUAGGAUGAGAAGGACGGCAAAUACCGUCACAAGCCAGGAGACUUGCCUUUAGCUUUGCUGAUUA
Molecule: non-coding RNA, 229 nt
Filed under: Spirosoma linguale
Lineage: Bacteria; Pseudomonadati; Bacteroidota; Cytophagia; Cytophagales; Cytophagaceae
Source: RNAcentral